This 544-nucleotide ribosomal RNA is filed under the name Gordonia sp. 845F1. RNAcentral describes it as "bacterial SSU rRNA". It matches the Rfam family "Bacterial small subunit ribosomal RNA", at positions 156 to 714 of the family's 1533-position model. The record is from RNAcentral. Lineage: Bacteria; Bacillati; Actinomycetota; Actinomycetes; Mycobacteriales; Gordoniaceae.
ACUGGGUCUAAUACCGGAUAUGACCAACUGUCGCAUGGUGGUUGGUGGAAAGCUUUUGCGGUGUGGGAUGGGCCCGCGGCCUAUCAGCUUGUUGGUGGGGUAAUGGCCUACCAAGGCGACGACGGGUAGCCGACCUGAGAGGGUGAUCGGCCACACUGGGACUGAGACACGGCCCAGACUCCUACGGGAGGCAGCAGUGGGGAAUAUUGCACAAUGGGCGCAAGCCUGAUGCAGCGACGCCGCGUGAGGGAUGACGGCCUUCGGGUUGUAAACCUCUUUCACCAGGGACGAAGCGGAAGUGACGGUACCUGGAGAAGAAGCACCGGCCAACUACGUGCCAGCAGCCGCGGUAAUACGUAGGGUGCGAGCGUUGUCCGGAAUUACUGGGCGUAAAGAGCUCGUAGGCGGUUUGUCGCGUCGUCUGUGAAAUUCUGCAACUCAAUUGCAGGCGUGCAGGCGAUACGGGCAGACUUGAGUACUACAGGGGAGACUGGAAUUCCUGGUGUAGCGGUGAAAUGCGCAGAUAUCAGGAGGAACACCGGUG